RNAcentral lists this ribosomal RNA (750 nucleotides) under uncultured bacterium. RNAcentral describes it as "bacterial SSU rRNA". It matches the Rfam family "Bacterial small subunit ribosomal RNA", at positions 60 to 823 of the family's 1533-position model. The record is from RNAcentral.
AGUCGAACGAGAGAGAAGGAGCUUGCUUCUUCGAUUGAGUGGCGAACGGGUGAGUAACGCGUGAGGAACCUGCCUCAAAGAGGGGGACAACAGUUGGAAACGACUGCUAAUACCGCAUAAGCCCACGGGUCGGCAUCGACCUGAGGGAAAAGGAGCAAUCCGCUUUGAGAUGGCCUCGCGUCCGAUUAGCUAGUUGGUGAGGUAACGGCCCACCAAGGCGACGAUCGGUAGCCGGACUGAGAGGUUGAACGGCCACAUUGGGACUGAGACACGGCCCAGACUCCUACGGGAGGCAGCAGUGGGGAAUAUUGCACAAUGGGGGAAACCCUGAUGCAGCGACGCCGCGUGGAGGAAGAAGGUCUUCGGAUUGUAAACUCCUGUUGUUGAGGAAGAUAAUGACGGUACUCAACAAGGAAGUGACGGCUAACUACGUGCCAGCAGCCGCGGUAAAACGUAGGUCACAAGCGUUGUCCGGAAUUACUGGGUGUAAAGGGAGCGCAGGCGGGAAGACAAGUUGGAAGUGAAAUCUAUGGGCUCAACCCAUAAACUGCUUUCAAAACUGUUUUUCUUGAGUAGUGCAGAGGUAGGCGGAAUUCCCGGUGUAGCGGUGGAAUGCGUAGAUAUCGGGAGGAACACCAGUGGCGAAGGCGGCCUACUGGGCACCAACUGACGCUGGGGCUCGAAAGUGUGGGUAGCAAACAGGAUUAGAUACCCUGGUAGUCCACACCGUAAACGAUGAUUACUAGGUGU